GGACUACCAGGGUAUCUAAUCCUGUUUGCUCCCCACGCUUUCGCACAUGAGCGUCAAUACCAGACCAGGCAGUCGCCUUCGCCACUGGUGUUCUUCCGAAUAUCUACGAAUUUCACCUCUACACUCGGAAUUCCACUGCCCUCUUCUGGAUUCAAGCGCGCCAGUCUUAAAAGCAAUUCCCAGGUUAAGCCCGGGGCUUUCACUUCUAAUUUAACGCGCCGCCUGCGUGCGCUUUACGCCCAGUAAUUCCGAACAACGCUAGCCCCCUUCGUAUUACCGCGGCUGCUGGCAC
This 292-nucleotide ribosomal RNA is filed under the name uncultured Alphaproteobacteria bacterium. Its description in RNAcentral is "partial 16S ribosomal RNA". The record is from RNAcentral. Lineage: Bacteria; Pseudomonadati; Pseudomonadota; Alphaproteobacteria.